RNAcentral lists this ribosomal RNA (482 nucleotides) under uncultured bacterium. RNAcentral's name for it is "partial 16S ribosomal RNA". It matches the Rfam family "Bacterial small subunit ribosomal RNA", at positions 30 to 507 of the family's 1533-position model. The record is from RNAcentral.
AUUGAACGCUGGCGGCAUGCCUUACACAUGCAAGUCGAACGGUAACGGGCCUUCGGGUGCCGACGAGUGGCGAACGGGUGAGUAAUACAUCGGAACGUGCCCGAUCGUGGGGGAUAACGAGGCGAAAGCUUUGCUAAUACCGCAUACGAUCUACGGAUGAAAGCAGGGGACCGCAAGGCCUUGCGCGGACGGAGCGGCCGAUGGCAGAUUAGGUAGUUGGUGGGAUAAAAGCUUACCAAGCCGACGAUCUGUAGCUGGUCUGAGAGGAUGAUCAGCCACACUGGGACUGAGACACGGCCCAGACUCCUACGGGGGGCAGCAGUGGGGAAUUUUGGACAAUGGGCGCAAGCCUGAUCCAGCCAUGCCGCGUGCAGGAUGAAGGCCUUCGGGUUGUAAAAUGCUUUUGUACGGAACGAAAAGCCUUCUUUUAAUACAGGAGGGUCAUGACGGUACCGUAAGAAUAAGCACCGGCUAACUACGUG